AUGGCCAUUCCCCACCUGAGCAGCGCAGGAGUGCUUUGGUCAGCAGUAAUCCUUUUUGAAAAAGGAACAUGGCUCACUGUUCUAAAGAAGAAUGAUGAAAUCAUACCUCCAGCUGUGGCCGUUUUUUCCCCAUCAAAACUAGAGAUCCAACAGAAGAACAAGGCCUCGCUGGUAUGCCUGGCCUCUGGUUUCUACCCUGACCACGUGAAUCUCAUCUGGAAGGUGAAUGGUGCUAAGAGGACAGAAGGCGUGGGGACAGUCGAGUUUUCCACAUGGAAUGGGAGUACCUACUCAUUGACCAGACAACUAAGGAUCUCAGACCAGGAAUGGUUCAACCCUUUGAACUGUUUUGGGUGUGUUGCCAAUUUUUAAGAAUGGAUUGUUGGAAUCGAUACACAAUUUCAUCUAUGGUGACACUGAUUGUAGUAUCUUCAAAGAAAGCUUUCAGAGAAGUGCUACACCUGGGACGUUUGUGUACAUCACGCUCAUUUUCAAGAGCAUGGGAUGUUUAUGAUGGGGUUGAUGCUUAGGUCCAAGGAAAGGAACAGAGUUCUAGUCCACACACAUUUGUCCUAA
Non-coding RNA from Eurypyga helias (sunbittern), 576 nucleotides. NCBI's taxonomy places the organism in Eukaryota, Metazoa, Chordata, Aves, Eurypygiformes, Eurypygidae. The record is from the annotation of a RefSeq genome assembly.